CGCGGUGGGCUCCCUGUUUUGUGCAGUCGACCACCGACGUUGCAAGUCUCUUCAGACUGUGAAACUGCGAAUGGCUCAUUAAAUCAGUUAUAGUUUGUUUGAUGGUACGUGCUACUCGGAUAACCGUAGUAAUUCUAGAGCUAAUACGUGCAACAAACCCCGACUUCCAGAAGGGAUGCAUUUAUUAGAUAAAAGGCUGAUGUGGGCUUUGCCCGUUGCUCCGAUGAUUCAUGAUAACUGACGGAUCGCACGGCCCUCGUGCGGGCGACGCAUCAUUCAAAUUUCUGCCCUAUCAACUUUCGAUGGUAGGAUAGGGGCCUACCAUGGUGGUGGCGGGACGGAGAAUUAGGGUUUGAUUCGAGAGGGAGCACGAGAAACAGCUACCACAUCCAAGGAAGGCAAAGAAAGCGCAAAUUACCCAAUCGACACGGGAGGUAGUGACAAUAAAUAACAAUACCGGGCUCUUCGAAGUCCGGUAAUUGGAAUGAGUACAAUCUAAAUCCCUUUAACGAGGAUCCAUUGCAGGGCAAGUCCGGUGCCGCGAAAGCCGCCAGUAAUUCCAGCUCAAUAGCGUAUAUUUAAGUUGUUGCGUUAAAAGCUUCGUAGUUGGACUUUGGGGCCGGUCGGUCGGUCCGCCUUCAUGGUGUGCACGGUCGUCCCAUCCCUUCUGUCGGCGAUCGUGCUUGGCCUUAACUGGCGGGUGCGUGCCCGCCACCGUUAUUUUGAAGAAAUUAGAGUGUUUCAAAGCAAGCCCACGCCUCUGGAUACAUUAGCAUGGGAUAACAUCACAGGAUUUCGGUCCUAUUGUGUUGGCCGGGAUCGGAGUAAUGAUUAUGAGGGACAGUCGGGGCAUUCAGAUUUCAUAGUCGAGGUGAAAUUCUUGGAUUUAUGAAAGACGAACCACCGCGAAAAGCAUUUGCCAAGGAUGUUUUCAUUAAUCAAGAACGAAAGUUGGGGCUCAAGUCGAUCGAGAUACCGUCCUAGUCUCAACCAUAAACGAUGCCGACCAGGGAUCGGCGGAUGUUGCUCUUAGGACUCGCCGGCACCUUAUGAGAAAUCAAAGUCUUUGGGUUCCGGGGAGUAUGGUCGCAAGGUCAAAACUUAAAGGAAUUGAUGGAAGGGCACCACCGGGGAGUGGAGCCGCGGCUUAAUUUGACUCAACACGGGAAACUUACCGGUCCGACAUAGCAAGGAUUGACGGACCGAGAGCUCUUUCUUGAUUCUAUGGGUGGUGGUGCAUGACCGUUCUUAGUUGGUGGAGCGAUUUGUCCGGUUAAUUCCGAUAACUUAAACGAGACCUCACCGCUAACUAGCUACGCGGAGGCAUCCCUCGGCGGCCAGCUUCUUAGAGGGACUAUGGGCGUUUAGGCCACGGAAGUUUGAGGCAAUAACAGGUCUGUGAUGCCCUUAGAUGUUACGGGCGCGACGCGCUACAUCGAUGUAUUCAACGAAGUCUAUAGCCUUGGCCGGCGGGCCGGGUAAUCUUUGAAAAUUUCAUCGUGAUGGGGAUAGAUCAUUGCAAUUGUUGGUCUUCAACGAGGAAUUCCUAGUAAGCGCUUGAGUCAUCAGCUGGCGUUGACUCAAAUCCCCCCCCCUUUGUACACCGCCCGCCGCUCCCUACCGAUUGAAUGGUCCGGUGAAGUGUUCGGAUCGAGGCGACGGGUGGUUCGCCGCCCGCCCGACGUCGCGAGAAGUCCACUGAACCUUAUCAUUUAGAGGAAGGAGAAGUCGUAACAAGGUUUCCGUGAGGUGAACCUACUGAAG
Molecule: ribosomal RNA, 1764 nt
Filed under: Musa schizocarpa
Lineage: Eukaryota; Viridiplantae; Streptophyta; Magnoliopsida; Zingiberales; Musaceae
Description: bacterial SSU rRNA
Rfam family: Eukaryotic small subunit ribosomal RNA
Source: RNAcentral